GAUAAACGCUGGCGGCGUGCUUUAAGCAUGCAAGUCGAACGGAUGCUCGCAAGAGUAUGAGUGGCAGACGGCUGAGGAAGACGGAAGGAACCUACCCUUCAGAGGGGGAUAACUCCGCGAAAGCGGGGCUAAGACCGCGUACGCUCAUUCUGGGGAGAACGGAGUGAGGAAAACCGCGAGGUGCUGAAGGAGGGGCUUCCGGCCCAUCAGGUAGUUGGUGAGGUAACGGCCCACCAAGCCGAUGACGGGUCGCUGGUCUAAGAGGAUGAU
RNAcentral lists this ribosomal RNA (270 nucleotides) under uncultured bacterium. RNAcentral's name for it is "partial 16S ribosomal RNA". It matches the Rfam family "Bacterial small subunit ribosomal RNA", at positions 28 to 304 of the family's 1533-position model. The record is from RNAcentral.